AGAGUUGAUUAUGGCUCAGAACGAACGCUGGCGGCAUGGAUUAGGCAUGCAAGUUGAACGAACUCCUUCGGGAGUGAGUAGCGGAAGGGUGAGGAACGCGUGAGUAAUCUGCCCCCCAGUUGGGAAUAACAGUUGGAAACGACUGCUAAUACCGAAUGUGGCUUAAGCUUCGCCUGGAGCUUUGGCUAAAGAUUUAUCGCUGGGGGAUGAGCUCGCGUCCCAUUAGGUAGUUGGUGAGGUAACGGCUCACCAAGCCGACGAUGGGUAGCUGGUCUGAGAGGAUGGUCAGCCACACUGGGACUGAGACACUGCCCAGACUCCUACGGGAGGCUGCAGUCGAGAAUCUUGGGCAAUGCGCGAAAGCGUGAACCCCAGCAAUGCCGCGUGUAUGAUGAAGGCCCUCGGGUCGUAAAGUACUGUCUCCCGUGACGAAAUUUGACGGUAGCGGGAAGGAAGCCACGGCUAACUACGUGCCAGCAGCGGC
RNAcentral lists this ribosomal RNA (484 nucleotides) under uncultured bacterium. Its description in RNAcentral is "bacterial SSU rRNA". It matches the Rfam family "Bacterial small subunit ribosomal RNA", at positions 8 to 518 of the family's 1533-position model. The record is from RNAcentral.